This 482-nucleotide ribosomal RNA is filed under the name uncultured bacterium. RNAcentral describes it as "partial 16S ribosomal RNA". It matches the Rfam family "Bacterial small subunit ribosomal RNA", at positions 28 to 523 of the family's 1533-position model. The record is from RNAcentral.
GACGAACGCUGGCGGCGUGCUUAACACAUGCAAGUCGAACGAUGAAGGAGAGCUUGCUCUUCGGAUUAGUGGCGAACGGGUGAGUAACACGUGACUAACCUGCCCCUUUCUCUGGGAUAACGCUCCGAAAGGAGUGCUAAUACCGGAUACUCACAUCGAGGCACAUGCCUUGAUGUGGAAAGUUUUUCGGAAAGGGAUGGAGUCGCGGCCUAUCAGCUUGUUGGUGAGGUAACGGCUCACCAAGGCGACGACGGGUAGCCGGCCUGAGAGGGCGACCGGCCACACUGGAACUGAGACACGGCCCAGACCCCUACGGGAGGCAGCAGUGGGGAAUAUUGCACAAUGGGCGAAAGCCUGAUGCAGCGACGCCGCGUGAGGGAUGAAGGUCUUCGGAUUGUAAACCUCUUUCAGUAGGGACGAAGCGAAAGUGACGGUACCUAAAGAAGAAGCACCGGCUAACUACGUGCCAGCCGCCGCGGUAA